Molecule: ribosomal RNA, 168 nt
Filed under: uncultured bacterium
Lineage: Bacteria
Description: partial 16S ribosomal RNA
Rfam family: Bacterial small subunit ribosomal RNA
Source: RNAcentral
GCAGUGGGGAAUAUUGCACAAUGGGCGCAAGCCUGAUGCAGCGACGCCGCGUGCGGGAUGACGGCCUUCGGGUUGUAAACCGCUUUUGACUGGGAGCAAGCCCUUCGGGGUGAGUGUACCUUGCGAAUAAGCACCGGCUAACUACGUGCCAGCAGCCGCGGUAAUACG